Molecule: ribosomal RNA, 484 nt
Filed under: uncultured bacterium
Lineage: Bacteria
Description: partial 16S ribosomal RNA
Rfam family: Bacterial small subunit ribosomal RNA
Source: RNAcentral
AUUGAACGCUGGCGGCAGGCCUAACACAUGCCAGUCGAGCGGUAGAGAGAAGCUUGCUUCUCUUGAGAGCGGCGGACGGGUGAGUAAUGCCUAGGAAUCUGCCUGGUAGUGGGGGAUAACGUUCGGAAACGGACGCUAAUACCGCAUACGUCCUACGGGAGAAAGCAGGGGACCUUCGGGCCUUGCGCUAUCAGAUGAGCCUAGGUCGGAUUAGCUAGUUGGUGGGGUAAUGGCUCACCAAGGCGACGAUCCGUAACUGGUCUGAGAGGAUGAUCAGUCACACUGGAACUGAGACACGGUCCAGACUCCUACGGGAGGCAGCAGUGGGGAAUAUUGGACAAUGGGCGAAAGCCUGAUCCAGCCAUGCCGCGUGUGUGAAGAAGGUCUUCGGAUUGUAAAGCACUUUAAGUUGGGAGGAAGGGCAGUAAAUUAAUACUUUGCUGUUUUGACGUUACCGACAGAAUAAGCACCGGCUAACUCUGUG